Molecule: ribosomal RNA, 117 nt
Filed under: Paenibacillus mangrovi
Lineage: Bacteria; Bacillati; Bacillota; Bacilli; Caryophanales; Paenibacillaceae
Source: RNAcentral
UUUGGUGGCGAUGGCGGAGGGGUUCCACGCGUACCCAUCCCGAACACGACCGUUAAGACCUCCAGCGCCGAUGGUACUUGGACCGAAGGGUCCUGGGAGAGUAGGAAGCUGCCAAGC